Molecule: ribosomal RNA, 492 nt
Filed under: uncultured bacterium
Lineage: Bacteria
Description: partial 16S ribosomal RNA
Rfam family: Bacterial small subunit ribosomal RNA
Source: RNAcentral
AGUGAACGCUGGCGGUGUGCCUAACACAUGCAAGUCGAACGGCAACACAGUAAGCUCUUGCUCUUACCGUUGGCGAGGGGCGGGCGGGUGACGAGUACAUCGCAAUCUUCUUUUUCGGGGGGGAUAACGUAAGGAAACUUACACUAAUACCGCAUACGACCUACGGGUGAGAGCAUUGGAUCUUCUGACCUUUCGCGAUUGAAUUAGCCGAUGUCGGAUUAGCUAGUUGGCGGGGUAAAGGCCCACCAAGGCGACGAUCCGUAGCUGGUCUGAGAGGAUGAUCGGCCACACUGGAACUGAGACACGGUCCAGACUCCUACGGGAGGCAGCAGUGGGGAAUAUUGGGCAAUGGGCGAAAGCCUGACCCAGCGAGACCGCGUGGGUGAAGAAGGCCUUCGGGUUGUAAAGCCCUUUUGUUGGGAAAGAAAAGCAGUAGGUUAAAACACCGCUGUCCUGACGGUACCCAAAGAAUAAGCACCGGCUAACUUCGUG